RNAcentral lists this ribosomal RNA (492 nucleotides) under uncultured bacterium. Its description in RNAcentral is "partial 16S ribosomal RNA". It matches the Rfam family "Bacterial small subunit ribosomal RNA", at positions 29 to 507 of the family's 1533-position model. The record is from RNAcentral.
AGUGAACGCUGGCGGUAGGCCUAACACAUGCAAGUCGAACGGCAGCACAGUAAGAGCCUGCUCUUACGGGUGGCGGGUGGCGGACGGGUGAGGAAUACAUCGGAAUCUACUUUUUCGUGGGGGUUAACGUAGGGAAACUUACGCUAAUACCUCAUACGACCUACGGGUGAAAGCAGGGGAUCUUCGGACCUUGCCCGAUUGAAUGAGCCGAUGUCGGAUUAGCUAGUUGGCGGGGUAAAGGCCCACCAAGGCGACGAUCCUUAGCUGGUCUGAGAGGAUGAGCAGCCACACUGGAACUGAGACACGGUCCAGACUCCUACGGGAGGCAGCAGUGGGGAAUAUUGGACAAUGGGCGCAAGCCUGAUCCAGCCAUACCGCGUGGGUGCAGAAGGCCUUCGGGUUGUAAAGCCCUUUUGUUGGGAAAGAAAAGCAGCAGGUUAAUACCCCGCUGUUCUGACGGUACCCACAGAAUAAGCACCGGCUAACUUCGUG